Molecule: long non-coding RNA, 415 nt
Filed under: Rattus norvegicus (Norway rat)
Lineage: Eukaryota; Metazoa; Chordata; Mammalia; Rodentia; Muridae
Description: long non-coding RNA NONRATT013884
Source: RNAcentral
GAGGGACUUCCGUAAUAAACCCUAUCCUGUCCGGGCAAAGAUUACCUAUUACCAGAAAACACUGACGGUCAUGAUCAAUAAUGGCUUUACACCAGAUAAAAAUGAUUAUGAAUUCUGUGCCAAAGUGGAAAAUAUGGUUAUCCCCACGCAAGGGCAUUUUGGGAUAUCUGCUGCAACAGGAGGUCUUGCAGGUAAAUCUUGCCAUCUUUUCAUAUUGAAAGCUUGUGAAUGAGUCAUACUGGUAAUAGUAUGUUUAGGGAAUGUAGACACAAUUCCGUUUACUCUUAAAAGUCUUUGGAGCCUUCCCACUGUCCGUUAUACCAAUCUUGGCAGUCGGAGCUGCGUGGAUGCAUGCUAAUUACACCAUUCAUUUAGGUGCAGUUUGUAGUGAAGGGGCAUAUUUAAAGUUGAGCAU